This is a long non-coding RNA of Temnothorax curvispinosus, 318 nucleotides long. RefSeq lists it as uncharacterized. The record is from RefSeq and is a predicted model, not a curated record. The transcript has 3 exons. NCBI's taxonomy places the organism in Eukaryota, Metazoa, Arthropoda, Insecta, Hymenoptera, Formicidae.
GCGACUUCGGAGCAGCGAGAGAAUCCUGCGAAGCUGAUAUCCCGAGCAGCCUGAGAGAAGGAGGAGGCCUAGGAUAGGCAUCGGGCAUCGGCGUAUCAACACUUCUGAAAAUAUCAACGCGCGAAGAAGCAUCAGCUUCGCAUCGAGGGAGCUGAUAAUCCGAGAGGAUAGCCUGAGAGGAGGAGCAGGCCUGGGAGAGGUAUCGGGCACGAGCGGAACAACUUUGCGAUACAACGUAGCUACGUGGCAGAUGUAAUUCCGCUGUUGCGCAUCGGGGUCGGUGAGUGAUAAAUUAAUAUGUCUGUUGAGGUAAUUGAU